This 232-nucleotide ribosomal RNA is filed under the name Salinicoccus hispanicus. Its description in RNAcentral is "partial 16S ribosomal RNA". It matches the Rfam family "Bacterial small subunit ribosomal RNA", at positions 551 to 786 of the family's 1533-position model. The record is from RNAcentral. Lineage: Bacteria; Bacillati; Bacillota; Bacilli; Caryophanales; Staphylococcaceae.
UUAUUGGGCGUAAAGAGCGCGUAGGCGGUCUGUUAAGUCUGAUGUGAAAGCCCCCGGCUCAACCGGGGAGGGUCAUUGGAAACUGGCAGACUUGAGUGCAGAAGAGGAGAGUGGAAUUCCUGUUGUAGCACAGAAAUGCGCAGAGAUAUGGGAGAAACCGAUGCGAAGGCGGGUCUCUGGUCUGUAACUGACGCUGAGGUGCGAAGCGUGGGGAUCGACAGGAUUAGAUACC